This 438-nucleotide ribosomal RNA is filed under the name uncultured bacterium. Its description in RNAcentral is "bacterial SSU rRNA". It matches the Rfam family "Bacterial small subunit ribosomal RNA", at positions 52 to 518 of the family's 1533-position model. The record is from RNAcentral.
CACAUGCAAGUGAGCGGGAUUCAUUAUAGCUUGCUAUGGAUGAUGAGGAGCAGCGCACUGGUGAGUAACACGUGGGAACAUGCCUUUUGGUGGGGGACAACAGUUGGAAACGACUGCUAAUACCGCAUACGCCCUGAGGGGGAAAGAUUAAUUGCCGAAAGAUUGGCCCGCGGAAGAUUAGGUAGUAGGUGGGGUAACGGCCUACCUAGCCGACGACCUAUAGCUGGUCUGAGAGGACGAUCAGCCACAUUGGAACUGAGACACGGUCCAGACUCCUACGGGAGGCAGCAGUGAGGAAUAUUGGGCAAUGGAGGGAACUCUGACCCAGCCAAUGCCGCGUGAGUGAAGAAGGUUUUCGGAUUGUAAAGCUCUUUCAGAUGGGAAGAUGAUGACGGUACCAUCAGAAGAAGCACCGGCUAACUUCGUGCCAGCCGCCGC